This 441-nucleotide ribosomal RNA is filed under the name uncultured bacterium. RNAcentral describes it as "partial 16S ribosomal RNA". It matches the Rfam family "Bacterial small subunit ribosomal RNA", at positions 338 to 795 of the family's 1533-position model. The record is from RNAcentral.
CCUACGGGAGGCAGCAGUGGGGAAUAUUGCACAAUGGGGGAAACCCUGAUGCAGCGACGCCGCGUGAGUGAAGAAGUAUUUCGGUAUGUAAAGCUCUAUCAGCAGGAACGAGACAAGACGGUACCUGACUAAGAAGCCCCGGCUAAAUACGUGCCAGCAGCCGCGGUAAUACGUAUGGUGCAAGCGUUAUCCGGAUUUACUGGGUGUAAAGGGAGCGCAGGCGGCACGGCAAGCCUGAUGUGAAAGCCCGCGGCCCAACCGCGGGACUGCAUUGGGAACUAGCGGGCUGGAGUGCCGGAGAGGUAGGCGGAAUUCCUGGUGUAGCGGUGAAAUGCGUAGAUAUUAGGAGGAACACCAGUGGCGAAGGCGGCCUACUGGACGGUGACUGACGCUGAGGCUCGAAAGCGUGGGGAGCAAACAGGAUUAGAUACCCUGGUAGUC